This is a long non-coding RNA of Hyaena hyaena (striped hyena), 291 nucleotides long. RefSeq lists it as uncharacterized. Lineage: Eukaryota; Metazoa; Chordata; Mammalia; Carnivora; Hyaenidae. The transcript has 3 exons. The record is from RefSeq and is a predicted model, not a curated record.
GACACGGGGCAGACCCAGACCCGACCCGAAGCUCAGAGCCGAGCCCAGGCGAGGUCAGCGGAGCUCUGAUCAGUCUGCAGACGCCCGGAUCUGCCGGGUUUACUUCACUUAAUGGGAAGAAACGGAAACCUGAAGGUAGUGAUCCCUGGAGCUGAAUCUGGUUCCAGGAAAGGAGACAUCAUACAAGCCAGUCACGGUCUCCAGAAUGCGUAUUAAGACGAAAGCGCUCCUCUCCCGCCCCCAGUCACACGGCGGGUGCCCGGCCUCUGCGAGGAACAGGUCUCUCGAAGC